RNAcentral lists this ribosomal RNA (450 nucleotides) under Exserohilum rostratum. RNAcentral's name for it is "SSU rRNA". It matches the Rfam family "Eukaryotic small subunit ribosomal RNA", at positions 553 to 1008 of the family's 1831-position model. The record is from RNAcentral. Lineage: Eukaryota; Fungi; Ascomycota; Dothideomycetes; Pleosporales; Pleosporaceae.
UGGCAAGUUUUUUGCCAGCAGCCGCGGUAAUUCCAGCUCCAAUAGCGUAUAUUAAAGUUGUUGCAGUUAAAAAGCUCGUAGUUGAAACUUGGGCCUGGCUGGCGGGUCCGCCUCACCGCGUGCACUCGUCCGGCCGGGCCUUCCUUCUGAAGAACCUCAUGCCCUUCACUGGGCGUGUUGGGGAAUCAGGACUUUUACUUUGAAAAAAUUAGAGUGUUCAAAGCAGGCCUUUGCUCGAAUACGUUAGCAUGGAAUAAUAAAAUAGGGCGUGCGUUUCUAUUUUGUUGGUUUCUAGAGACGCCGCAAUGAUUAACAGGAACAGUCGGGGGCAUCAGUAUUCAGUUGUCAGAGGUGAAAUUCUUGGAUUUACUGAAGACUAACUACUGCGAAAGCAUUUGCCAAGGAUGUUUUCAUUAAUCAGUGAACGAAAGUCAGGGGAUCGAAGACGCA